Molecule: transfer RNA, 69 nt
Filed under: Ictidomys tridecemlineatus (thirteen-lined ground squirrel)
Lineage: Eukaryota; Metazoa; Chordata; Mammalia; Rodentia; Sciuridae
Description: Spermophilus tridecemlineatus (thirteen-lined ground squirrel) tRNA
Rfam family: tRNA
About the family: Transfer RNA (tRNA) molecules are approximately 80 nucleotides in length. Their secondary structure includes four short double-helical elements and three loops (D, anti-codon, and T loops).
Source: Rfam by way of RNAcentral
GGGGAUGUGGCUUAGUGGUAGAGUGCUGGCCUAGUAUGUGUGAGGCCCUGGGUUUAAUUCCCAGCACCA